UGAUUGAGUAAUUUAAUGGAAAUAAUUUCUAGUAUUAGAAGGUCAAAAUGGAGCUUUUAUCAGCAUCUUUGGACCUUUGAGACAUUAUAGAUAAAAGUGAAGAGCCUCCAAGCAUACAUUCAGAUGCUAAAAAAAUAAAAAAAUAAAAAAUAAAAAAUAAUUCAAAAGACGUGAAAAAAAGGCUUUUGGCAUAAUUGCUAUCAAGAACAAGAACUUUUCCAACAUCAUCUUUACAAGGAAGAAAUUCUUUACUUGCAAGAUAGAAGAAGGUAAAGGUCUCAUGGUUUAUGUCAAUAAGAUAAAGGCUCUUACAAUCUAACUAGCAAUUUUUGAAAAGCCUUUAAAAGAUGGUGAUAUUUUCAU
Molecule: long non-coding RNA, 363 nt
Filed under: Physcomitrium patens
Lineage: Eukaryota; Viridiplantae; Streptophyta; Bryopsida; Funariales; Funariaceae
Description: long non-coding RNA (PPAT_LNC010803)
Source: RNAcentral